This is a long non-coding RNA of Phascolarctos cinereus (koala), 622 nucleotides long. RefSeq lists it as uncharacterized. The record is from RefSeq and is a predicted model, not a curated record. Lineage: Eukaryota; Metazoa; Chordata; Mammalia; Diprotodontia; Phascolarctidae.
CAGACACUGAAUUCAUUGAGGAAGGAAGGAACCCAUCCUGAAGGUUGAAAAGUCUAGAAACCUCCACAGCUGCCUUUGAUUCAGUUUCCCGGGGCCAGCUCCAGGUUCACCAAUGCCUACUUUUUGCCUGCAUGCCCACACUGAACUGCAUUUCUCUACCAGCCGGUGAGCUGAUCCAAGAGCAUGAAGGUGUGGAGAACCUACCCUUGAAACCACACAAGAACAAUCCCUGUGCUUCCAGGUAAAAGGCAAUAAAAUAAUAAGGAAAUUACUCAAUGGGUUUUUUGCUUUUAUUUUUGUUUUUGGAUUUUUUUGCCUUCCUGGAUUUCCCGUGCAAGGUAGUUGUUGUUCAUCCUUCAUUUUCAAAGAGGACCAAUGAUAUCACAAUGUGAUGAGUCAUGUCUUCACUUGUCAUGAAUUGGAUUUAAACAAGGCAGAGUUUCACAAAGUUGUCAGCCUCACUCUCUCAGAAUCAUCAAAAUCGAGUGGCAAGACAAAAAUCAAGACAACUACUGAUGGCUUGGGAUGCAGUGGAUGACCUUGGCUUCUUUAAUGUCUAGAUAACCAAGCUCACAGUACCUACUUCAGCCACCUUCAUGGCUGUUGGAACAAAUUGUUUUCA